This 397-nucleotide ribosomal RNA is filed under the name uncultured bacterium. RNAcentral describes it as "partial 16S ribosomal RNA". It matches the Rfam family "Bacterial small subunit ribosomal RNA", at positions 523 to 918 of the family's 1533-position model. The record is from RNAcentral.
AUACGUAGGUGGCGAGCGUUGUCCGGAAUUACUGGGCGUAAAGGAUGCGUAGGUGGAUACUUAAGUGGGAUGUGAAAUCCCCGGGCUCAACCCGGGAACUGCAUUCCAAACUGGGUAUCUAGAGUGCAGGAGAGGAAAGCGGAAUUCCUAGUGUAGCGGUGAAAUGCGUAGAUAUUAGGAGGAACACCAGUGGCGAAGGCGGUUUUCUGGACUGUAACUGACACUGAGGCAUGAAAGCGUGGGUAGCAAACAGGAUUAGAUACCCUGGUAGUCCACGCCGUAAACGAUGGGUACUAGGUGUAGGAGGUAUCGACCCCUUCUGUGCCGUCGUUAACACAAUAAGUACCCCGCCUGGGGAGUACGGUCGCAAGACUAAAACUCAAAUGAAUUGACGGGG